UACGAAGGGGGCUAGCGUUGUUCGGAAUUACUGGGCGUAAAGCGCGCGCAGGCGGCUAUCCAAGUCAGUGGUGAAAGCCCGGAGCUCAACUCCGGAACUGCCAUUGAAACUGUUUAGCUUGAGGACGAGAGAGGUGAGUGGAAUUCCCAGUUUAUAGGUGAAAUUCGUAGAUAUUGGGAAGAACGCCGGUGGCGAAGACGGCUCACUGGCUCGUAUCUGACGCUCAGGCACGACAGCGUGGGGAUCAAACAGG
RNAcentral lists this ribosomal RNA (253 nucleotides) under uncultured bacterium. RNAcentral describes it as "partial 16S ribosomal RNA". It matches the Rfam family "Bacterial small subunit ribosomal RNA", at positions 524 to 776 of the family's 1533-position model. The record is from RNAcentral.